RNAcentral lists this ribosomal RNA (778 nucleotides) under uncultured Myxococcales bacterium. RNAcentral's name for it is "bacterial SSU rRNA". It matches the Rfam family "Bacterial small subunit ribosomal RNA", at positions 1 to 773 of the family's 1533-position model. Lineage: Bacteria; Pseudomonadati; Myxococcota; Myxococcia; Myxococcales. The record is from RNAcentral.
UNAGUUUGAUGAUGGCUCAGAGCGAACGUUAGCGGCGGGCCUAACACAUGCAAGUCGAACGAGAAAGUCCUUCGGGGCGAGUACAGUGGCGCACGGGUGAGGAACGCGUAGGUAAUCUACCCUCUGGUGGGGGACAACAUUCCGAAAGGAAUGCUAAUACCGCAUAAGACCACAUUCACCACGGUGAGAGUGGUAAAAGGCGCCUCAAAGCGUCACCAGAGGAUGAGCCUGCGUCCCAUCAGCUUGUUGGUAAGGUAACGGCUUACCAAGGCUAAGACGGGUAGCUGGUCUGAGAGGAUGAUCAGCCACACUGGCACUGGAACACGGGCCAGACUCCUACGGGAGGCAGCAGUGAGGAAUAUUGGGCAAUGGGCGAAAGCCUGACCCAGCCACGCCGCGUGUGUGAUGAAGGCCUUCGGGUCGUAAAGCACUGUGGGGAGAGACGAAACCGCGCAUCAGGAAAUGGGUGCGUCUUGACGGUACCUCCUUAGCAAGCACCGGCUAACUCUGUGCCAGCAGCCGCGGUAAUACAGAGGGUGCAAACGUUGCUCGGAUUUACUGGGCGUAAAGCGCGUGUAGGCGGACUCGCAAGUCGGUUGUGAAAUCCCUGGGCUCAACCUAGGAACUGCAUCCGAAACUGCGUGUCUUGAGUAAUGGAGAGGGUGGCGGAAUUCCCGGUGUAGAGGUGAAAUUCGUAGAUAUCGGGAGGAACAUCAGUGGCGAAGGCGGCCACCUGGACAUUCACUGACGCUGAGACGCGAAAGCGUGGGGAGCAAAC